This 253-nucleotide ribosomal RNA is filed under the name uncultured bacterium. RNAcentral's name for it is "partial 16S ribosomal RNA". It matches the Rfam family "Bacterial small subunit ribosomal RNA", at positions 524 to 776 of the family's 1533-position model. The record is from RNAcentral.
UACGUAGGGGGCAAGCGUUGUCCGGAAUCAUUGGGCGUAAAGAGCGUGUAGGCGGUCCGGUCAGUCGGUUGUGAAAGUCAAGGGCUCAACCCUUGAAUGCCGGCCGAUACUGCCGUUCUUGAGGGAUGCAGAGGAGACUGGAAUUCCCGGUGUAGCGGUGAAAUGUGUAGAGAUCGGGAGGAACACCGGUGGCGAAGGCGGGUCUCUGGGCAUUUCCUGACGCUGAGGCGCGAAAGCGUGGGGAGCAAACGGG